UCCACGCCGUAAACGAUGUCAACUAGAUGUUGGGGAGAUUAAACUCUUUAGUAUCGAAGCUAACGCGAUAAGUUGACCGCCUGGGGAGUACGCCGGCAACGGUAAAACUCAAAGGAAUUGACGGGGGCCCGCACAAGCGGUGGAGCAUGUGGUUUAAUUCGAUGCAACGCGAAGAACCUUACCUGCCCUUGACAUACAGAGAACUUUCCAGAGAUGGAUUGGUGCCUUCGGGA
RNAcentral lists this ribosomal RNA (233 nucleotides) under uncultured bacterium. RNAcentral describes it as "partial 16S ribosomal RNA". It matches the Rfam family "Bacterial small subunit ribosomal RNA", at positions 794 to 1025 of the family's 1533-position model. The record is from RNAcentral.